GAGAGCAGCGCGCUGUUUCGGGCUUUCUGCAGCUCCGGUGUUGCGACAGCGUGAGUGUGUGAGUGUGUGAGUUCGUGAGCGUGUGUGUUGGGGUAGAGGAUGAGGCUGAGGAUGAGGACGCGCAGAGGAACGCUGUUAAUGUGUUAGAAAAGAUGAUGAGGAGCCCGACAUCAGCUGCUCAACACUGCACACCGCGGAGACGCUCACCUUCUACAGGUACGAGGAAGAAUCCGUGGUGAGGUGUUAUGCGCUGAGGGUUCGAACAUGCACACGGGAAAAUCGGAAGUGCGCAUCCGCUCGAAGUGCGCCGCGCUCUUGGGAAUGCUCGGUCACCAUCACGGGUUUGCCGACGUCGCCGAUCUCACGGAUCUGUGCUGGAAACAGGACGAGCGCGUGGAGCGCCUACAGGACGCCGACUUCCUCCGUGCGAAAACGGCGGCGGCCCAGGAGAAGGCGCAGCCGAUUAAAUCUCACACGGCGAGCUUCUGCAUGGCUCCAGGACAAGGACAAGAAUGAACUCCACAGGAGGAGUAACCCACUUGGAGGAACGCGCUAUCCGCCCUCUUCCGCAUACAUGAGCGCACGGGAUCGCCCGGUGAUUG
Long non-coding RNA from Ictalurus punctatus (channel catfish), 602 nucleotides. Lineage: Eukaryota; Metazoa; Chordata; Actinopteri; Siluriformes; Ictaluridae. The record is from Ensembl.